Molecule: ribosomal RNA, 407 nt
Filed under: uncultured bacterium
Lineage: Bacteria
Description: bacterial SSU rRNA
Rfam family: Bacterial small subunit ribosomal RNA
Source: RNAcentral
AUUGAACGCUGGCGGCAUGCCUUACACAUGCAAGUCGAACGGCAGCGGACCUUCGGGUGCCGGCGAGUGGCGAACGGGUGAGUAAUAUAUCGGAACGUACCUUUCAGUGGGGGAGUAACGUAGCGAAAGUUACGCUAAUACCGCAUAUUCUGUGAGCAGGAAAGCAGGGGAGUCGCAAGACCUUGCGCUGAUUGAGCGGCCGAUAUCAGAUUAGCUAGUUGGUGAGGUAAAGGACGUCACCAACGGCGACGAUCUGUAGCGGGUCGUGAGAGGAUGAUCCGCCACACUGGAACUGAGACACGGUCCACGACUCCUACGGGAGGCAGCAGUGGGGAAGUUUUGGUACAAUGGGCGGCAAGCCUGAUCCAGCCAUGCCGCGUGAGUGAAGAAGGCCUCGGUUGUAAGAC